RNAcentral lists this ribosomal RNA (162 nucleotides) under Staphylococcus hominis. RNAcentral describes it as "partial 16S ribosomal RNA". Lineage: Bacteria; Bacillati; Bacillota; Bacilli; Caryophanales; Staphylococcaceae. The record is from RNAcentral.
AGCUCCGGUUUCCCGAAGUUAUCCCAGUCUUAUAGGUAGGUUACCUACGUGUUACUCACCCGUCCGCCGCUAACGUCAAAGGAGCAAGCUCCUCGUCUGUUCGCUCGACUUGCAUGUAUUAGGCACGCCGCCAGCGUUCAUCCUGAGCCAGGAUCAAACUCU